CCUUGAUGUGUGCAUUAUAUGCUUAUGCUUAUCGAUGACUUUUAUGUUUAAUUCCAACAUAAUAUUCUACUUUUGUUGUGAAUUUUGAAUAAUUACAUUUUUUAAGAGGUACAGUUUCUUUUAACCGCAGUUUUUUCAUCAAAAUGAUUUAGUUCUAUGGUUGGAAGACAAUGGUCAAGAAGAGCUUUUUAAUGGUUGAAGCAAGGAUUCCUGAUUAACAAUAAUUAACAUGUUGAAACCAUAGCCAAUUUAUAUUAUUGGGAAAUCUGUAAAAACAACUUAAGUAAAUUACAAUGUUUCCAUAUCUGUUGCUAUGCUUACAGCUUCAUCAGACUUCAUCAGACCACUGACUUAAGGACUGCAAUAACUAUAAUUAUAUGUACUUAAUAUAUAAUAAUUUAAUUUCUAAGAAAAUAG
Long non-coding RNA from Sipha flava (yellow sugarcane aphid), 417 nucleotides. RefSeq lists it as uncharacterized. The transcript has 3 exons. NCBI's taxonomy places the organism in Eukaryota, Metazoa, Arthropoda, Insecta, Hemiptera, Aphididae. The record is from RefSeq and is a predicted model, not a curated record.